UAGGGAAUCUUCGGCAAUGGGGGGAACCCUGACCGAGCAACGCCGCGUGAGUGAAGAAGGUUUUCGGAUCGUAAAGCUCUGUUGUUAAGGAAGAACGAGUGUGAGAAUGGAAAGUUCAUGCUGUGACGGUACUUAACCAGAAAGGGACGGCUAACUACGUGCCAGCAGCCGCGGUAAUACGUAGGUCCCGAGCGUUGUCCGGAUUUAUUGGGCGUAAAGCGAGCGCAGGCGGUUAGAAAAGUCUGAAGUGAAAGGCAGUGGCUCAACCAUUGUAGGCUUUGGAAACUGUUUAACUUGAGUGCAGAAGGGGAGAGUGGAAUUCCAUGUGUAGCGGUGAAAUGCGUAGAUAUAUGGAGGAACACCGGUGGCGAAAGCGGCUCUCUGGUCUGUAACUGACGCUGAGGCUCGAAAGCGUGUGGAGCGAACAGG
Molecule: ribosomal RNA, 429 nt
Filed under: Bacteroidota bacterium
Lineage: Bacteria; Pseudomonadati; Bacteroidota
Also listed under: 1 other name
Description: Bacteroidetes bacterium partial 16S ribosomal RNA
Rfam family: Bacterial small subunit ribosomal RNA
Source: RNAcentral